Long non-coding RNA from Coregonus clupeaformis (lake whitefish), 916 nucleotides. RefSeq lists it as uncharacterized. The transcript is spliced from 2 exons. NCBI's taxonomy places the organism in Eukaryota, Metazoa, Chordata, Actinopteri, Salmoniformes, Salmonidae. The record is from RefSeq and is a predicted model, not a curated record.
GUUGCCCCGAUUACUGCAGUUAGAAAGCUUCCGUAGGUGAAGUUGCACCCGAUUACUGCAGUUAGAAAAAGCUUCCGUAGGUGAAGUUGCCCCGAUUACUGCAGUUAGAAAGCUUCCGUAGGUGAAGUUGCACCCGAUUACUGCAGUUAGAAAAAGCUUCCGUAGGUGAAGUUGCCCCGAUUACUGCAGUUAGAAAGCUUCCGUAGGUGAAGUUGCCCGAUUACUGCAGUUAGAAAGCUUCCGUAGGUGAAGUUGCCCCGAUUACUGCAGUUAGAAAGCUUCCGUGAGGUGAAGCUUGCCCCGAUUACUGCAGUUAGAAAGCUUCCGUAGGUGAAGUUGCACCCGAUUACUGCAGUUAGAAAGCUUCCGUAGGUGAAGUUGCCCCGAUUACUGCAGUUAGAAAAAGCUUCCGUAGGUGAAGUUGCACCCGAUUACUGCAGUUAGAAAGCUUCCGUAGGUGAAGUUGCACCCGAUUACUGCAGUUAGAAAAAGCUUCCGUAGGUGAAGUUGCCCCGAUUACUGCAGUUAGAAAAAGCUUCCGUAGGUGAAGUUGCACCCGAUUACUGCAGUUAGAAAGCUUCCGUAGGUGAAGUUGCCCCGAUUACUGCAGUUAGAAAGCUUCCGUAGGUGAAGUUGCACAAGAUUAUUGCAGUUAGAAAGCUUCCGUAGGUGAAGUUGCCCCCUAGACACUAAAAAAGGUCAGUUUGGAGUCCCCCCCCCCCUGUAUUGGUUCAGGUUAGAAGCUGAAGAGUCAUGAUAUAUCCCUCUGAUGGUUGAGAACAGGACUGUUAGUAGUCUGCACACACACUGUUGUGUUGUAGUCCAUCCAUAGUCCAUGUCUUUAUGAAAGAGUCUUUCUCCAUGUGCAGUAGAAUGAUGAAAUGUUGAGAGGAGUAUAAAAGCUGCUUUGUAAAAG